GUAGGUGAACCUGCGGAAGGAUCAUUAAUGAGUUAGGGUCUUCUAGGCCCGAUCUCCAACCCUUUGUAUAACUACCAUGUUGCUUUGGCGGGCCCGUCUUUAAUCGGACCGCCGGGGGUCUUUAACCUCUGGCCAGUGCUCGUCAGUAGCCUACACAAAACUCUUUUAACCAUGUUAAAUCUGAAACUAGUUAAAUAAACUAAAACUUUCAACAACGGAUCUCUUGGUUCUG
Molecule: unclassified non-coding RNA, 232 nt
Filed under: rhizosphere metagenome
Description: partial ribosomal RNA internal transcribed spacer region
Source: RNAcentral